CGGCGCUUCCCACAGUGCGCCGGGGCGCGCGCGGGGGCUCCUGGGAGUUGUGGUCCGGCGCCGCUCGUCGCUGCUGCGGCUGCUACGGGCUCGGCGCCGGCUUUGUCUGUCUGCGGGUGCGCGCUGCUGCGGUACUCAAGCCCGGCCCAUGGAAGAAUCAUAUGAGGAAGUGGUGAUUAAAGUCACAGAGCAGGAGUGGACAUGUUUGGGUUUCCAACAGCUACCCUGCUGGACUGUCAUGGAAGAUAUGCCCAGAAUGUAGCAUUUUUCAAUGUGAUGACAGAAGCCCACAAAUAUGAUCAUUCAGAGGCCACAGGAUCGUCAAGCUGGGAUUUCCAGAGUUCUUUCAGAAGAGAGAAGCUGGAACAAAAGUCCCCAGAUUCUAAGACACUACAGGAAGACUCCCCUGGAGUGAGACAGAAGGUCUAUGAUUGCCAGGAAUGUGGGAAGUCUUUCCGGCAAAAAGGUAGUCUAACAUUGCAUGAGAGAAUCCACACUGGUCAGAAGCCUUUUGAGUGCACCCAGUGUGGAAAGAGCUUCAGAGCCAAAGGCAAUCUAGUUACACAUCAGCGAAUUCACACAGGAGAGAAACCCUAUCAGUGCAAAGAGUGUGGGAAAAGCUUUAGUCAGCGAGGCAGUCUAGCUGUUCAUGAGAGACUCCACACUGGACAGAAACCCUAUGAAUGUGCCAUUUGCCAGAGAAGCUUCAGGAAUCAAAGUAACCUUGCUGUUCACCGAAGAGUUCACAGUGGUGAGAAGCCCUAUAGAUGUGACCAGUGUGGAAAAGCUUUCAGUCAGAAGGGGAGCUUAAUUGUCCACAUCAGAGUUCACACAGGUCUGAAGCCCUAUGCGUGUUCUCACUGCAGGAAGAGUUUCCACACCAGGGGGAAUUGUAUUCUGCAUGGAAAAAUCCACACAGGAGAAACACCCUAUCUCUGUGGCCAGUGUGGGAAAAGUUUCACCCAGAGAGGGAGCCUGGCUGUGCACCAGCGAAGCUGCUCACAAAGGCUCACCCUGUAACCAUUCUCUUCAAAGGAAGUUCUUAAGAAUUAAGAAUACAAAACCCUCUGUAAUCAAGAAAGUUAUCUAAUUCUAUAGGGUAAGUGGAAAUUCUUCCAGAAGGACCAGUAUUUGAUAGGACAAACUGACUUUUUCCCUUUCCCCCAAAUGAAUAUGAAAAAUAAAUGUCUUGUUUUGUCAUUA
Molecule: long non-coding RNA, 1203 nt
Organism: Peromyscus californicus insignis
Lineage: Eukaryota; Metazoa; Chordata; Mammalia; Rodentia; Cricetidae
Exons: 3
Source: RefSeq, a predicted model, not a curated record